GUGUCAGCAGCCGCGGUAAUACGAAGGGGGCGAGCGUUGUUCGGAUUUACUGGGCGUAAAGGGCGCGCAGGCGGCUUUGUUUGUCAGGCGUGAAAGCCCCGGGCUUAACCUGGGAACUGCGCUUGAGACGGCGAGGCUAGAGAUCGGGAGAGGAGAGUGGAAUUCCCAGUGUAGAGGUGAAAUUCGUAGAUAUUGGGAAGAACACCGGUGGCGAAGGCGGCUCUCUGGACCGACACUGACGCUGAGGCGCGAAAGCGUGGGGAGCAAACAGGAUUAGAUACCCUCGUAGUCC
This 292-nucleotide ribosomal RNA is filed under the name uncultured bacterium. Its description in RNAcentral is "partial 16S ribosomal RNA". It matches the Rfam family "Bacterial small subunit ribosomal RNA", at positions 505 to 796 of the family's 1533-position model. The record is from RNAcentral.